RNAcentral lists this ribosomal RNA (367 nucleotides) under uncultured Desulfuromonas sp. Its description in RNAcentral is "bacterial SSU rRNA". It matches the Rfam family "Bacterial small subunit ribosomal RNA", at positions 1016 to 1382 of the family's 1533-position model. The record is from RNAcentral. Lineage: Bacteria; Pseudomonadati; Thermodesulfobacteriota; Desulfuromonadia; Desulfuromonadales; Desulfuromonadaceae.
CAGUUCGGCUGGAUCGGUGACAGGUAGCUGCAUGGCUGUCGUCAGCUCGUGUCGUGAGAUGUGGUUAAGUCCGCAACGAGCGCAACCCUCGUCCUUAGUUGCCAGCAUUAAGUUGGGCACUCUAAGGAGACUGCCGGUGUUAAACCGGAGGAAGGCGGGGAUGACGUCAAGUCCUCAUGGCCCUUAUGUCCAGGGCUACACACGUGCUACAAUGGCCGGUACAAAGGGUAGCAAGACCGCGAGGUGGAGCCAACCCCAAAAACGCCGGUACUCAGUUCGGAUUGGAGUCUGCAACUCGACUCCAUGAAGCUGGAUUCGCUAGUAAUCGCGCAUCAGCCACGGCGCGGUGAAUACGUUCCCGGGCCUU